Molecule: ribosomal RNA, 276 nt
Filed under: Triticum aestivum (bread wheat)
Lineage: Eukaryota; Viridiplantae; Streptophyta; Magnoliopsida; Poales; Poaceae
Description: partial small subunit ribosomal RNA
Source: RNAcentral
AUGGUCCCAGAACAGCUUCGUCAAUAUGAGUUGAAGCAAAGCAAGAAGAAGUUGAGGUUUGAAAUUGAGUCAAAAGAGUUUGCUGAGAAGGAGAAGCAGAGGAGAUCUGCAGAUGGUGCCAAGGGUGGUAAAUUUGGCAAGGUGAAGAAGAGGUUGAGUACUGUUGCUGAGGAAGGUGGUACACCUCGGCGGAGUCCAUGUGUUGCUGGAAUGAAGAAUAAUCUUGGCAAGAGAACCGCUGAAGCUGGUGGAAGUGAUGAUCCUCAGUGCAAAUGA